This is a long non-coding RNA of Lolium rigidum, 542 nucleotides long. RefSeq lists it as uncharacterized. NCBI's taxonomy places the organism in Eukaryota, Viridiplantae, Streptophyta, Magnoliopsida, Poales, Poaceae. The transcript is spliced from 2 exons. The record is from RefSeq and is a predicted model, not a curated record.
GCUUAGGGUGUCCGGCACGCCGCAUGACCAGACGCCGGUGCGACAUGUCGGAGGCACUGGCGGCGUUGAACAUGAUGGACAUGCGCAGUAAGAAUGGUUGCUUGGCCAAGAUUUCCUUCACUGGCAAGGGAGAAACAAAGUCCAUGAUACAGUUGUCUGGACUCCCUGGAGGACAGAAAGGACAGAAGACAGUGGUGGCACUAGCACUGUUUUUUUCUCCAGCGAAUAGCUCCAUUCUACAUGUUCCAUAAGAUAGAUAUUGCUAUGGAGUCUGGAUCCUCAGUAGCUACUUCUUUGUAAGCAAUUCUCAGUAGCUAGUUCACUUGGUUCAGUGUUUGGCAGUCAACACCAGUGUAAGCGACCUAGGCCCGGUGGGGUGCAGCGUUCAUCAUCUCCUCAGCUGUUCUGUAGCUUUUAACAUAUUGGAAUUGCUGAUAGAAAAUGUGUGUAAAUUUUACGAGAUACUUGUAGCCUGUUUGUUCAAAGUGUUGAGAGACAGAAAUGUUCAACUCUAAAUUCUUGAACUUGUGUUGCCCGUCCUA